This 500-nucleotide ribosomal RNA is filed under the name uncultured bacterium. RNAcentral's name for it is "partial 16S ribosomal RNA". It matches the Rfam family "Bacterial small subunit ribosomal RNA", at positions 30 to 523 of the family's 1533-position model. The record is from RNAcentral.
AUUGAACGCUGGCGGAAUGCUUUACACAUGCAAGUCGAACGGCAGCACGGGGGCAACCCUGGUGGCGAGUGGCGAACGGGUGAGUAAUACAUCGGAACGUGCCCCGUCGUGGGGGAUAACGUAGCGAAAGUUACGCUAUUACCGCAUACGCACUACGGAUGAAAGCGGGGGACCGUAAGGCCUCGUGCGAUUGGAGCGGACGAUGUCAGAUUAGGUAGUGGGUGCGGUAAAGGCUCACCAAGCCGACGAUCUGUAGCUGGUCUGAGAGGACGACCAGCCACACUGGGACUGAGACACGGCCCAGACUCCUACGGGAGGCAGCAGUGGGGAAUGUUGGACAAUGGGCGCAAGCCUGAUCCAGCCAUUCCGCGUGCAGGACGAAGGCCUUCGGGUUGUAAACUGCUUUUGUACGGAACGAAAAGGCUCUGGUUAAUACCUGGGGCUCAUGACGGUACCGUAAGAAUAAGCACCGGCUAACUACGUGCCUGCCGCCGCCGUAA